This 405-nucleotide ribosomal RNA is filed under the name uncultured bacterium. RNAcentral's name for it is "bacterial SSU rRNA". It matches the Rfam family "Bacterial small subunit ribosomal RNA", at positions 355 to 776 of the family's 1533-position model. The record is from RNAcentral.
CGGGGAAUAUUGCGCAAUGGGCGAAAGCCUGACGCAGCGACACCGCGUGGAGGAUGACGGCUUUCGAGUUGUAAACUCCUUUUCUCAGGGAAGAGAACGGACGGUACCUGAGGAAUAAGCAUCGGCUAACUACGUGCCAGCAGCCGCGGUAAUACGUAGGAUGCGAGCGUUGUCCGGAUUUACUGGGCGUAAAGGACGAGUAGGCGGCCCACCAAGUCUCAUGUGAAAUCUCCUGGCUUAACUGGGAGCGGUCAUGGGAAACUGGUAGGCUUGAGGUCAGCAGAGGAAAGCGGAAUUCCCGGAGUAGCGGUGGAAUGCGUAGAUACCGGGAGGAACACCAGAGGCGAAGGCGGCUUUCUGGGCUGCACCUGACGCUGAGGCGUGAAAGCAUGGGGAGCGAACCGG